RNAcentral lists this ribosomal RNA (799 nucleotides) under uncultured bacterium. RNAcentral's name for it is "bacterial SSU rRNA". It matches the Rfam family "Bacterial small subunit ribosomal RNA", at positions 10 to 810 of the family's 1533-position model. The record is from RNAcentral.
AGUUUGAUCCUGGCUCAGGAUGAACGCUGGCGGCGUGCUUAACACAUGCAAGUCGAACGGGAAACCUUUUAUUGAAGCUUCGGCAGAUUUAGAUUGUUUCUAGUGGCGGACGGGUGAGUAACGCGUGGGUAACCUGUCUUGUACAGGGGGAUAACAGUUGGAAACGGCUGCUAAUACCGCAUAAGCGCACGGCAUCGCAUGAUGCAGUGUGAAAAACUCCGGUGGUAUAAGAUGGACCCGCGUUGGAUUAGCUAGUUGGUGAGGUAACGGCCCACCAAGGCGACGAUCCAUAGCCGACCUGAGAGGGUGACCGGCCACAUUGGGACUGAGACACGGUCCAAACUCCUACGGGAGGCAGCAGUGGGGAAUAUUGCACAAUGGGGGAAACCCUGAUGCAGCAACGCCGCGUGAGUGAAGAAGUAUUUCGGUAUGUAAAGCUCUAUCAGCAGGGAAGAUAAUGACGGUACCUGACUAAGAAGCUCCGGCUAAAUACGUGCCAGCAGCCGCGGUAAUACGUAUGGAGCAAGCGUUAUCCGGAUUUACUGGGUGUAAAGGGUGCGUAGGUGGCAGUGCAAGUCAGAUGUGAAAGGCCGGGGCUCAACCCCGGAGCUGCAUUUGAAACUGCUCGGCUAGAGUACAGGAGAGGCAGGCGGAAUUCCUAGUGUAGCGGUGAAAUGCGUAGAUAUUAGGAGGAACACCAGUGGCGAAGGCGGCCUGCUGGACUGUUACUGACACUGAGGCACGAAAGCGUGGGGAGCAAACAGGAUUAGAUACCCUGGUAGUCCACGCCGUAAACGAU